This is a long non-coding RNA of Gordionus sp. m RMFG-2023, 398 nucleotides long. RefSeq lists it as uncharacterized. The transcript is spliced from 5 exons. NCBI's taxonomy places the organism in Eukaryota, Metazoa, Nematomorpha, Gordioida, Chordodea, Parachordodidae. The record is from RefSeq and is a predicted model, not a curated record.
GUUGAUAUUUUAAAUAUUCUGCUCCAUUCUUUCCAACUACUUUUGCCAAAACUACACAACAAUCAGCGAACCUGUAGAUUGCCCUCUGCUAAAAUGUAGUAAGGAAUGUUCAAAUGGUUAUCAAGUCGAUGAAAAUGGAUGUAGAACCUGCCGUUGCAAUUGCUUCCAGUUAGGUUGCAAAGAAUGUAUACAUGGUAAUAAAGUCGAUGAAAACGGAUGUAAAACUUGCCAAUGCGAUUGUCCCCUUUUUAAAUGUAAGGAGUGUGCUAAUGGCAAUCAAGUCGAUCAAAAUGGAUGUAGAACCUGCCGUUGCAAUUGCCCUAAAAUUAAACUAAAGUGUCCUUUUUGCCCAAAUGGUUAUCAAUUGGAUGAUAAUGGAUGUGUGACUUGCAAUUGCG